Molecule: RNA transcript, 2069 nt
Organism: Grammomys surdaster
Lineage: Eukaryota; Metazoa; Chordata; Mammalia; Rodentia; Muridae
Gene: Dctd
Gene name: dCMP deaminase
Exons: 6
Source: RefSeq, a predicted model, not a curated record
UGCUCAGCCUGCACGUUGGCUGCACCUGGCUCGCCACGGUGGAGCGGGAGAGGGUGUUCCCGGAGUCUCUUCUGGCGCCCACGUGGUAGAGAGGAGGGAGACUUAAGAAUCGGCUGCAGAGUUGGGGGAGCAAUUGUUGGAGGUGGAGCAGUUUCUCCCUGCACUAGUGGCGUCCCUGCCUCAGUUUCCUGGUUCUGAAGUUGCUCGUGGUGGCAUAUGACUUCUACACCCAACAUGAGUGACAUUUCCUGCAAAAAACGGGAUGACUAUCUGGAGUGGCCAGAGUAUUUCAUGGCGGUAGCCUUCUUGUCAGCUCAAAGAAGCAAGGACCCAAGUUCCCAGGUGGGAGCCUGCAUUGUGAAUACGGAAAACAAGAUCGUUGGCAUCGGGUACAAUGGAAUGCCAAAUGGGUGCAGCGAUGAUCUGUUGCCUUGGAGGAGAACAGCAGAAAAUAAACUGGAUACUAAGUAUCCUUAUGUGUGCCACGCCGAGCUGAACGCCAUCAUGAACAAGAAUUCGGCUGACGUGAAGGGCUGCAGUAUGUACGUUGCCUUGUUCCCGUGUAACGAAUGUGCUAAACUCAUCAUCCAGGCAGGUAGGAGGCGGGCCUUCGCAUUUGUUACCUCUGCAUUGGAGCCUGCGGAGCUGCAGCUCCCGUGCAGGUAUAAAAGAGGUUAUUUUCAUGUCGGAUAAAUACCACGACAGUGAGGAGACAACGGCCGCCAGGCUCCUGUUUAAAUUGGCUGGGGUUACGUUCAGAAAAUUCACACCGAAGUACAGCAAGAUUGUCAUUGACUUUGAUUCGAUUAAUAACCAACCGAGUCAGAAGCCUUAAUGAGUUUCAUCUUGUUAAAGCCCCAGAAGAAGAUAACACACACACACACACACACACACACACACACACACACACACACCACACACAAGGGCUCCCCAAGCCUUUCAUCUUGAAAUCCCACGUAACUUUUUAAUAGUACAGCACACAGACAUCUAAAGAAUAUGAAACUUUAAAUCUUCCCUACCUUCAAGUGGAUCUACAUGUCUCAGCUGUUGAUGUAGUUUGGAAACUGAGGGACGGUCCACGGGAACUGGAGUGAAGGUCUCUCCACCUCCUCAGAGCCUGUCUGCCUGGAAUGAAGAUGGUUGUACCAGAGAGAGUCAGCUCUGUCAUCCAAUGAAUUUCGACAGCCGCUCCUUGCUGCCACACGGGCUAGAAGGACAUACAAAUAAUUGUUUCUCGUUCUUAGCAGGGAUGAGCAGGCACACUGAUGUGAACAUCUGGCCCAAAUGAAGCAUACCCUAUCACGCCCUUGGAAAAACAAAUAGGACCAAACGAAGCUAGCGUGAACCUAUCUGCUACAGGGGACCUCUCACCUGGUCACAGGUGACCUCAACCUGUGCCCUCCUGGUUGAAGAGGGCACGUGUCCUGGUACAUGAUCCCCUCAGUACAUUGUCCCCUCAGUUCCUACUUUCCUGCCUCACAAAGAACAGUAGCACACUAUCCCCCUGGGGGGUAGAGGACCCCUGCCGUUCCAGCUUCUUAUCCUUGGUUUGUUGGCCACAUAGCACUGUAAAAUUUAUCCGAGGAAUAAGUAGUUCCUAGAGGAGACAGCUUAUCACUCCCCCUAGACCAGGCACUGAGCAGUGACAGCUGGAGCUGUAUGGAUGGGUGGUGUGGGACGUCCCCCAUCCCGUGUCUCCUACUGUGUGGACACAUGUCACUCCUGUUAUACACACCAGCGUGGUUCAUUUCCAAGGGUGCCCUACAAUCAGGGAGCACAUUAAUUCCUGUCCUAUAAGAGGAUUGUGGGAAACUCUGGGUACCUGGAGGUGGUCCAUGCCAGACCUGCUGGGAUGCCCCUCAUUUGUGCCUUCAGCCACACAGGCAGCAUCCUCCUAGUGCCCCGUUGUGGGGUGCCCCACUGUGUACUGUUUUUAAUUUCAUGUAACUUCUAGCAAACAAGCUCAAUGUCUUUGAUAGAAUAGUUUCUUUAUCUUAAAGACUGUUCCCAUUUUUAUGGUGCUUGUUUUUUUCAUGGGUUUUUAUUUGGUCUCUGAGGUUUUUUUUUUU